UAUGUAUUCCCUCCGUCCGAAAAUACUUAUCAUCAAAAUGAAUAAAAAGCGAUGUAUCAAGAACUAAAAUACAUCUAGAUACAUUUCCUUCUAUGCAUUUUGAUGACAAGUAUUUCCGGACGAAGAGAAUACUAA
Molecule: non-coding RNA, 135 nt
Organism: Triticum aestivum (bread wheat)
Lineage: Eukaryota; Viridiplantae; Streptophyta; Magnoliopsida; Poales; Poaceae
Source: Rfam